UUGUCUUUGCUUUGGUAAAAAAAUAAAUAUAAAAUUCACAAAAAUAUUUAUAUGUUUGGUAAAAAAAUUAAAUGAAAUUUUCUGUAAAUUAAGAAAGAAUUUAACUGAAAAUACACACACAAUGCCUCGGUGGAUACCGAAAAGCAUUAGCUUUUCCGUAAUCGUGAUGUAUUUCACUUCAGAUGUUUUAGGAUAAACCACCACCAUCUUCCACCAUACCACUUACUAUACUACUAUGCCAAACCUCACAGCCCAUUUCCGCCAGAAUCAAAUCUAUGUCGCCUUGAAGUUCACGUUCUUUUUAUCGUUUUUGAGCUUCAUAAUAUUGUUGUUUUACAGCUGGUGGCUGUGUCUCAAGUUGGAUCGGCCAAGUACAUAGAUCCAGAUGUUAAAAAACGAGGACAUUUCAGUUGCGUUAUUGAAUUCAUUCUCAAAUUUUUGUGUGAACUUAUCGACGGCACAGCGGCGGUCCUACAUUCCACUAUCGAUGCUCUGGAGUACAUCAAGUUGAGUUUGAUGCAUCAGUAUUGCGAUUAUGCACAAGAUGGUGUUAACGUCUUUGCGGUGCAGGAAUAUUCGAAUGUGUCGGUGAAAUUAUCAAAGGAGAUACUAGGAAUGAAUGAGGAGUGCGGCUUGUUCUACAAACUCUCGUUUGAAAACUCUCAUACACCUUCGUCCACGUCGGAGCCCCCCGCCCCCGCCGCCCCCGACACCCCCACUACCCCUGAAACCCCUACUGGCCCCGACCCCCUUACUACCCCUGGCACCGCUGCUGGCGCCAGCACCCCCAGCACCCCUGUUUACCCCGACACCUCUGGCACUCCUGGUGACAGCAUGGUCAGUCUGCUAGAGCCUGUAGACAGUCACUACAGCGACGUAGUUUACCAUCGCAGGGUGUGACACAACGUGUACGUUCUUCAAAAUAAAUAGUUAAAUUUGAAAGCUAUUCUGUAAUAUGAAAUGGUUAUUAAAUAAAGUACUUUUAGAAAAUAAAUACAAAUAGCUAUUAUCGUUUUCA
This is a non-coding RNA of Plutella xylostella (diamondback moth), 1018 nucleotides long. The record is from RefSeq and is a predicted model, not a curated record. NCBI's taxonomy places the organism in Eukaryota, Metazoa, Arthropoda, Insecta, Lepidoptera, Plutellidae.